CUUAACACAUGCAAGUCGAGGGGCAGCAUCAUCAAAGCUUGCUUUGAUGGAUGGCGACCGGCGCACGGGUGAGUAACACGUAUCCAACCUGCCGACAACACUGGGAUAGCCUUUCGAAAGAAAGAUUAAUACCGGAUGGCAUAGUCUUCCCGCAUGGGAUGAUUAUUAAAGAAUUUCGGUUGUCGAUGGGGAUGCGUUCCAUUAGGCAGUUGGCGGGGUAACGGCCCACCAAACCUACGAUGGAUAGGGGUUCUGAGAGGAAGGUCCCCCACAUUGGAACUGAGACACGGUCCAAACUCCUACGGGAGGCAGCAGUGAGGAAUAUUGGUCAAUGGACGAGAGUCUGAACCAGCCAAGUAGCGUGAAGGAUGACUGCCCUAUGGGUUGUAAACUUCUUUUAUACGGGAAUAAAGUGAGCCACGUGUGGCUUUUUGUAUGUACCGUAUGAAUAAGGAUCGGCUAACUCCGUGCCAGCAGCCGCGGUAAUACGGAGGAUCCGAGCGUUAUCCGGAUUUAUUGGGUUUAAAGGGAGCGUAGGCGGGUUGUUAAGUCAGUUGUGAAAGUUUGCGGCUCAACCGUAAAAUUGCAGUUGAUACUGGCGACCUUGAGUGCAACAGAGGUAGGCGGAAUUCGUGGUGUAGCGGUGAAAUGCUUAGAUAUCACGAAGAACUCCGAUUGCGAAGGCAGCUUACUGGAUUGUAACUGACGCUGAUGCUCGAAAGUGUGGGUAUCAAACAGGAUUAGAUACCCUGGUAGUCCGCACAGUAAACGAUGAAUACUCGCUGUUGGCGAUAUACAGUCAGCGGCCAAGCGAAAGCAUUAAGUAUUCCACCUGGGGAGUACGCCGGCAACGGUGAAACUCAAAGGAAUUGACGGGGGCCCGCACAAGCGGAGGAACAUGUGGUUUAAUUCGAUGAUACGCGAGGAACCUUACCCGGGCUUAAAUUGCAACUGACUGAAUCGGAAACGGUUCUUUCUUCGGACAGUUGUGAAGGUGCUGCAUGGUUGUCGUCAGCUCGUGCCGUGAGGUGUCGGCUUAAGUGCCAUAACGAGCGCAACCCUUACGGGUAGUUACCAUCAGGUUAUGCUGGGGACUCUACCCGGACUGCCGUCGUAAGAUGUGAGGAAGGUGG
RNAcentral lists this ribosomal RNA (1133 nucleotides) under uncultured Bacteroides sp. RNAcentral describes it as "bacterial SSU rRNA". It matches the Rfam family "Bacterial small subunit ribosomal RNA", at positions 47 to 1176 of the family's 1533-position model. The record is from RNAcentral. Lineage: Bacteria; Pseudomonadati; Bacteroidota; Bacteroidia; Bacteroidales; Bacteroidaceae.